UACAUAGGGUGCAAGCGUUAAUCGGAAUUACUGGGCGUAAAGCGUGCGCAGGCGGUUUUGUAAGUCUGUCGUGAAAGCCCCGGGCUCAACCUGGGAAUUGCGAUGGAGACUGCAAGGCUUGAAUCUGGCAGAGGGGGGUAGAAUUCCACGUGUAGCAGUGAAAUGCGUAGAGUUGUGGAGGAACACCGAUGGCGAAGGCAGCCCCCUGGGUCAAGAUUGACGCUCAUGCACGAAAGCGUGGGGAGCAAACAGG
RNAcentral lists this ribosomal RNA (253 nucleotides) under uncultured bacterium. Its description in RNAcentral is "partial 16S ribosomal RNA". It matches the Rfam family "Bacterial small subunit ribosomal RNA", at positions 524 to 776 of the family's 1533-position model. The record is from RNAcentral.